GAACUGCGAUAAGUAAUGUGAAUUGCAGAAUUCAGUGAAUCAUCGAGUCUUUGAACGCACAUUGCGCCCCCUGGCAUUCCGGGGGGCAUGCCUGUCCGAGCGUCAUUGCUGCCCUUCAAGUCCGGCUUGUGUGUUGGGUCGUCGUCCCCUCCGGGGGACGGGCCCGAAAGGCAGCGGCGGCACCGCGUCCGGUCCUCGAGCGUAUGGGGCUUUGUCACCCGCUCGAUAAGGACCGGCCGGGCGCCAGCCGGCGUCUCCAACCUUUUUUUCUCAGGUUGACCUCGGAUCAGGUAGGGAUACCCGCUGAACUUAAGC
Molecule: unclassified non-coding RNA, 315 nt
Filed under: plant metagenome
Description: partial contains 5.8S ribosomal RNA, internal transcribed spacer 2, and large subunit ribosomal RNA
Rfam family: 5.8S ribosomal RNA (bases 1-105)
Source: RNAcentral